AUUUACAAUUUACAACAAAAGCAAUAAAAAUGUGCAUAUAUUCGUUGCUUAAGAGUUAAAACAAUUAUUUGUCAUUAUUCGUGGUAAUUCGUAAAAAAUGAAUUGCAAUAAUAACAUGAACUUUACCAGUUUCAGGUCAAAUCAUUAAGGUGGGUUCUAAUCAUGUGGAUUUAGUGUAUUUGUACGGUGAUAGCUUAA
Long non-coding RNA from Zophobas morio, 198 nucleotides. RefSeq lists it as uncharacterized. The record is from RefSeq and is a predicted model, not a curated record. Lineage: Eukaryota; Metazoa; Arthropoda; Insecta; Coleoptera; Tenebrionidae. The transcript has 3 exons.